UCGGGAAUUUUGGGCAAUGGGCGAAAGCCUGACCCAGCAACGCCGCGUGAAGGAUGAAGUAUUUCGGUAUGUAAACUUCGAAAGAAUAGGAAGAAUAAAUGACGGUACUAUUUAUAAGGUCCGGCUAACUACGUGCCAGCAGCCGCGGUAAUACGUAGGGACCAAGCGUUGUUCGGAUUUACUGGGCGUAAAGGGCGCGUAGGCGGCUUGACAAGUCACUUGUGAAAUCUCUGGGCUUAACCCAGAACGGCCAAGUGAAACUGUCAUGCUAGAGUGCAGAAGGGGCAAUCGGAAUUCUUGGUGUAGCGGUGAAAUGCGUAGAUAUCAAGAGGAACACCUGAGGUGAAGACGGGUUGCUGGGCUGACACUGACGCUGAGGCGCGAAAGCCAGGGGAGCAAACGGGAUUAGAUACCCCAGUAGUCCCUGAGCGGGCUGGCAAGGCGCAU
This 447-nucleotide ribosomal RNA is filed under the name uncultured bacterium. RNAcentral describes it as "bacterial SSU rRNA". It matches the Rfam family "Bacterial small subunit ribosomal RNA", at positions 355 to 825 of the family's 1533-position model. The record is from RNAcentral.